AUUUUGCACAUCAGAUGCUGGGGUGGAAGGCCCCAGGGUACGCAGAAACAGAGGAGGCUCCCACCCAGCAGCAACCCCCAGAUUUGCUGCUGUGACGCUGCUCUGUUUUGCCUGCGGGAGCCAAAAAAAAGCAGAGAUAGAAAUGAAGGAGGUGCAGGCACCAAAGCAGAGAAGAAUGGAGCUGAGGUCAACUGAGCAUCACCCAGAAUAUGAGAUUUGACAGUCCUGGCUUUAGCAAGAUGAUCCACUCCCAGGAGGCAGCUGUAGGCAUCUUCAUUUUUCAUCUUGCAGAGAGGAAGCCAAAGUAAGAAGUGACAUGGCUGGUCCAAGCCGAAAAUAGAACCUGAAGCACCUGACUUCAACGCCUCUGCUUCAACUGCUAGUUAGCUGUAAUUCCCUGACAUUUUCCUACAUCCAAGCUCAAGUCAUUGCUUUGCAGUCUGUAUACAGGAAUUUUUGUCUCCUCUCCAAUCUAUAGUUGCCUAGGGAGACAGUAAGGUGCCAGGAGAACAGUGAGAUGAGAAGGUGCCUAUUGAAUCAGGCUUGGGGUCACUUCUCCAUCCAGCUGCACCCCUGAUUUGCCAGCUCAGUCAGUCCCUAUCCUUAGGUCCAAGUCUCUUUCCUUAUUCAAGUGGUGGUAGAGCAAUGAUGGUGACCUCCCUCUGUGAGACUAACAAGAAGCAUUACGUGCAGACAUGCAUUUGGUAAGGAGGAGUAUAAAUUUAAAGAAGUUCUGGAAAAAAAAACCUCUUUAAUAUUUUCAGGUGCUUCAGGGUAGGAUUUAAAUCAAGAAUUGCUUAGAAGUUAAACCUCAUUUUUGGUCAAUUGCACAAUUUUAUGCUCAAUUUUAUAUACAUGAAUUUGUUCUCAGUACAAAUAACUUCCACAUAGAUGUUUAAAUUACAGCCCUGUUCUACGUGACAAAGAAGGUCAGCAGGUCUGGGGUUACAUUUUGCCUGCAAAAGGUAUGUGGUACCCCCAGCAGCUCUGGGAGGAGAAUCAAGCCCACUGGCUUCAAUAUGAUGAAGCUAGAAAGAAGUUCACAGCUCUUGCAGUCAUUUUCUUGAAUCAUUUUGACAAAUCUGCCUCUCUGCUAAACUUUCUCUAGGGAAUUUCCAGGGAGAGCAAGAAAGAUCAUCCAGGGACAGAGCUCUGGCAGUGAUGUGGCUGAAGUGCCUGUAGACUUAAAUUUGUGUCUUCUAUCAAGUGCUCUCCCACAAAGCUGUCCCUCAGCUUUUGUUGUACCUGCUUGUCACAAAGCUUCAGGAUGACUGUAAAUGUUGAAAUGCCACCAUCCCACAGACACUACUAUUUCCCAAUAACUAUUUCUGUAUUCACAAGGGCUUAUGUGGAGGCAAGGAACUCCCCACUGAUGUCCCAGACAUGGGAGAGCACAGGAGACACCAUCAGAGAUAAAGCACCUCUCUGCAAAGAGCUGAUGAGACACUCAACUUGUCACAUACCAGAAAUGUGCCUGGAGACUGCCAAAGCCAAGGCCUCAGCAGGGAUGUGCUGCCACCAGCUCUGCUGGAAGUCCCCGCUCUCUGCAGCAGCAGUUUGCAAUCACUGCCCAGCUCCACGGCCCACAUCCCACAGCUGGCCUGUGUGGGCUUGCCUCAGUGAGAGAUGAUUUUGUCACCAUUGCCAUGAAACUUCAUCCAAGCACCUGGUGCUAGGAAGCACAUUGUGCUCCCAGCCUGCUGAGUCCAACAAGGAAGAGCAGCCCUGUCACUAUGAGACGCAAAAAACCACGACGCGAACAAGAUGCUGUUCUCGAGGUAAAAAGGGAAGUUUAUUUUCUGACUCCAACAUUUAUAGAUUUCCAAAGGUGACAGUGGACUGGAAGGUGAAAGUGCCACCUCUCCAAUGACACUGGACAAACUAACAGUCCAUCAAAUUUCUCCUCCUCCAUAAAAGAAUGCAGAACAACAAGUUAUUUAUAGAAAGUGUGUGAGAAAGUUUGUUAUAAGAAUGUAAACAUCAGAAGGCUUAGAAAAUCGUAAAAAAUCAGGGUGACACAGCCCAAAUUUAGCAACAGUCAUAAAUCCAGCUUUAACUCCACCUACAGGAACUAUCUCCAGGAAAUCAAUUAGAUUAAUCAGCUGCACAGCAAGUGUGCACUGCUGUGCUGUGGUUUGCAGGUGCAGUGUUCCCUAAUCAGAUCAAGCCUUUCCCAGUGUUGUUUUUUGAGGUGCAGUGGGAUAUCAAAGACACAGCAAAAGCUUUUCAUUUCUAAACCCUUCAUUUCUUCAAUAAAGAUGCACUUUGCUGCAGCAUAGGAUUUUUUAAUUAUACUCUUCCCUUCUACUCUGUUUUACAGCUGCAUAAAGAAAUCAAAUAUCUUGCUUACACUGACUGAUGUAUUGGGGAAAUAAAGUCUACUUCUGGCAGCUACCUUUUCAAUCAUUCAUUUCCAUAAAAUUCCAUUUCUAAUAAACUGAUUUAUA
Molecule: long non-coding RNA, 2447 nt
Organism: Passer domesticus (house sparrow)
Lineage: Eukaryota; Metazoa; Chordata; Aves; Passeriformes; Passeridae
Exons: 3
Source: RefSeq, a predicted model, not a curated record